CGCUUCCUACGGGGGGCAGCAGUGAGGAAUAUUGGUCAAUGGGCGGGAGCCUGAACCAGCCAAGUCGCGUGAGGGAAGACGGACCUAUGGAUUGUAAACCUCUUUAGGCGGGGAGCAAUGCCGGGCACGUGUGCCCGGAGGGAGAGUACCCGCAGAAUAAGCAUCGGCUAACUCCGUGCCAGCAGCCGCGGUAAUACGGAGGAUGCGAGCGUUAUCCGGAUUUAUUGGGUUUAAAGGGUGCGUAGGCGGUCGGAUAAGUUAGAGGUGAAAUCCCGAGGCUCAACUUCGGAAUUGCCUCUGAUACC
This 305-nucleotide ribosomal RNA is filed under the name uncultured bacterium. RNAcentral describes it as "bacterial SSU rRNA". It matches the Rfam family "Bacterial small subunit ribosomal RNA", at positions 333 to 634 of the family's 1533-position model. The record is from RNAcentral.